RNAcentral lists this ribosomal RNA (425 nucleotides) under uncultured bacterium. RNAcentral describes it as "partial 16S ribosomal RNA". It matches the Rfam family "Bacterial small subunit ribosomal RNA", at positions 354 to 796 of the family's 1533-position model. The record is from RNAcentral.
GUGGGGAAUCUUGCGCAAUGGGCGAAAGCCUGACGCAGCCAUGCCGCUUGAAUGAUGAAGGUCUUAGGAUUGUAAAAUUCUUUCACCGGGGACGAUAAUGACGGUACCCGGAGAAGAAGCCCCGGCUAACUUCGUGCCAGCAGCCGCGGUAAUACGAAGGGGGCUAGCGUUGCUCGGAAUUACUGGGCGUAAAGGGCGCGUAGGCGGACAGUUUAGUCAGAGGUGAAAGCCCAGGGCUCAACCUUGGAAUUGCCUUUGAUACUGGCUGUCUUGAGUACGGGAGAGGUGAGUGGAACUCCGAGUGUAGAGGUGAAAUUCGUAGAUAUUCGGAAGAACACCAGUGGCGAAGGCGACUCACUGGCCCGUUACUGACGCUGAGGCGCGAAAGCGUGGGGAGCAAACAGGAUUAGAUACCCCAGUAGUCC